Molecule: non-coding RNA, 21 nt
Filed under: Caenorhabditis elegans
Lineage: Eukaryota; Metazoa; Nematoda; Chromadorea; Rhabditida; Rhabditidae
Source: RNAcentral
UUACCGCAGUGAUUGUUGCUC